RNAcentral lists this ribosomal RNA (400 nucleotides) under uncultured Glomeromycotina. RNAcentral describes it as "eukaryotic LSU rRNA". The record is from RNAcentral. Lineage: Eukaryota; Fungi; Glomeromycota.
GAAAAGAACUUUGAAAAGAGAGUUAAAUAGUACGUGAAAUUGUUGAAAGGGAAACGAUUGAAGUCAGUCGUACUGGCGAAAAAUCAACUACUCGAGUGAGUACUUGUGGGCGUACGUGAGCUUCACGGCCGCGUUGUUUGCAAUGUUCGUGCUCUUGUGGUGUACUUUUUCGUGUGGUAGGUCAAUGUCGGUUUUGAACGCCAUAAAAUGAUCGGAGGAAUGUAGCUUCGACCUCGGUUGAAGUGUUAUAGCCUCUGGCAGAUGUGGUGGUUGGGAUCGAGGAUUGCAACGAAUACCCUCUGGGCUAUCCGUCUGACCUCUGAAAGUCGCACGGGCGCCGAAAGCUUGCUUACGGUUAUCCAAGUUGACUGUCAAUAGAUUAGAACGUGAUUACAUUCGU